AGCCUUCUAAACCCAUGUCGAGAUUUCAUCACACACAAGACCAUCAGGACUGACGAGACUCCCAAGAUGGGUGAAGUU
Molecule: microRNA precursor, 78 nt
Organism: Schistosoma mansoni
Lineage: Eukaryota; Metazoa; Platyhelminthes; Trematoda; Strigeidida; Schistosomatidae
Rfam family: mir-3492 microRNA precursor family
Source: Rfam